GGUGGCUCAGUGGUAGAGUGCUUGCCUUGAAUGCAUGAAGCCCUGGGUUCAAUUCCUCAGCACCA
This 65-nucleotide transfer RNA is filed under the name Dipodomys ordii (Ord's kangaroo rat). It matches the Rfam family "tRNA". Rfam says of the family: Transfer RNA (tRNA) molecules are approximately 80 nucleotides in length. Their secondary structure includes four short double-helical elements and three loops (D, anti-codon, and T loops). The record is from Rfam by way of RNAcentral. Lineage: Eukaryota; Metazoa; Chordata; Mammalia; Rodentia; Heteromyidae.